Molecule: long non-coding RNA, 846 nt
Organism: Anolis carolinensis (green anole)
Lineage: Eukaryota; Metazoa; Chordata; Lepidosauria; Squamata; Anolidae
Exons: 4
Source: RefSeq, a predicted model, not a curated record
AGCAGCCGCGCGUGGCUGUGCAAGGAGCGCUGGAGCAGCUCCGCCGCUCGCGGCCAGUCCCCCGAGAAGUAGGCCCGCACCCCGUCCGCGUACAGCAGGUCGAAGGGCCGGAGCGGGUCAAGGCAAGCCUCCCUUGAUUGAUCUCUAUAGCUGAACCUGCAAGCUGCUUUCAGAGUGUUCUAGAUAGAAAAAUGCCAAGACAUGCAUAUAUGUGCCCCAUGUAUGUAGAAAAGCAGCCUCCAAACUAGGUGAGUUGUGGACUUUAAAAAAUCCCAAAUGUUCCUAAUGCUGCCUGUCCGUGCCUCUUCAUUCAAUUGUGGGAGGAAGACAGCUUGGUACUGUUUUUAAGAUGGGGUGCAACAUUGAGAGGCAGCUGUUCAUCUGGACUAGUUGCAGGCACUUCAGAAUGGAUAACUGGAGCGAAUUUCAAUGGAAGAAACAGAAGCUAUGAAGAUGGAAAUGGACUGCCUGACACAAUAGAAAUGAUUGCUGAGAUUUCAGUUGACAUUUGACCCCAACUUAGCACUAAAAUACCAUCUCUCUAUCAUCUGUAACCUGCAAGUGGAGAUUGCUGUUGGCCCUGCAUGUAUUGUUGAGCCAGGUGUCACCCAUCCUGUAUCUGGGCAUUUAACUUUUACCUGCCUUAGUGUAGUAUCUUACUUUUCUCCUUGAUAAAAUUCAUUUCGUUAGUUUUGGCCCAGAUCUCUGACCUGUUAAGAUCAUUUUGAAUUAUGGUCAUGACUUUUGGAGUAUUAGCUACACCUCCAAAAUAGUGGCCUAUAUUUAUUUGUGAAGCAUUAUGGAAUGUUAGUAUGUUGUAUAUUUAUAAAAUGUAACAAUCUUUGA